RNAcentral lists this ribosomal RNA (429 nucleotides) under Acidobacteriota bacterium. RNAcentral describes it as "Acidobacteria bacterium partial 16S ribosomal RNA". It matches the Rfam family "Bacterial small subunit ribosomal RNA", at positions 355 to 776 of the family's 1533-position model. The record is from RNAcentral. Lineage: Bacteria; Pseudomonadati; Acidobacteriota.
UGGGGAAUUUUGGACAAUGGGGGAAACCCUGAUCCAGCCAUCCCGCGUGUGCGAUAAAGGCCUUCGGGUUGUAAAGCACUUUUGGCAGGAAAGAAACGUCAUGGGUUAAUACCCCGUGAAACUGACGGUACCUGCAGAAUAAGCACCGGCUAACUACGUGCCAGCAGCCGCGGUAAUACGUAGGGUGCAAGCGUUAAUCGGAAUUACUGGGCGUAAAGCGUGCGCAGGCGGUUCGGAAAGAAAGAUGUGAAAUCCCAGAGCUCAACUUUGGAACUGCAUUUUUAACUACCGGGCUAGAGUGUGUCAGAGGGAGGUGGAAUUCCGCGUGUAGCAGUGAAAUGCGUAGAUAUGCGGAGGAACACCGAUGGCGAAGGCAGCCUCCUGGGAUAACACUGACGCUCAUGCACGAAAGCGUGGGGAGCAAACAGG